Molecule: long non-coding RNA, 1835 nt
Organism: Ictalurus punctatus (channel catfish)
Lineage: Eukaryota; Metazoa; Chordata; Actinopteri; Siluriformes; Ictaluridae
Source: Ensembl
CUUCCGCUUUUCUUUCUUUCUUUUUUGACAUUUUCUUUGCUGUUUCUUUCGUUCCUUCUUCUUUUUUUCAUUUUAUUCAAUCAUUCAUUCAACAUUUUCUCCCUUCUUCCCUUUUUGACUUUCUUUUCCAUUUUUCUCUUUUUCCUUUCAUUUUACAGUUUAUUUAUUAAUUAAUUUUCUUUCUAUCUUAUUUAUUUAUUUAUUAGUUUUUUUUCCAGAUCAUUCAUAUUAGUGUGCUGCUUUGUAUUAGUGUGUGUUUGUGUAUUUUAGUGUAUGUUGGAGAGUAUUUGUGUAUAUUAGCAUGUAUUAAUGUUUGUUAGUGUGUUGGUUUGUAUUAGUGUGUCAUGUAUUAGUGUGUAUUGCUGUGUAUUAGUGUGUAUUGGUGUGUAUUAGUGUGUAUUGCUGUGUAUUGGUGUGUGUUGGUGUGUAUUAGUGUGUGUUGGUGUGUAUUAGUGUGUAUUAGUAUGUAUUGGUGUGUAUUGCUGUGUAUUGGUGUGUGUUGGUGUGUAUUAGUGUGUGUUGGUGUGUAUUAGUGUGUAUUGGUGUGUGUUGUUGUGUAUUAGUGUGUGUUGGUGUGUAUUAGUGUGUAUUGGUGUGUAUUGGUGUGUGUUGGUGUGUAUUGGUGUGUGUUGGUGUGUAUUAGUGUGUGUUGGUGUGUAUUAGUGUGUAUUGGUGUGUGUUGUUGUGUAUUAGUGUGUGUUGGUGUGUAUUAGUGUGUAUUGGUGUGUAUUGGUGUGUGUUGUUGUGUAUUAGUGUGUGUUGGUGUGUAUUAGUGUGUAUUAGUGUGUAUUGCUGUGUAUUAGUGUGUAUUGCAGUGUAUUGGUGUGUGUUGGUGUGUAUUGCUGUGUAUUAGUGUGUAUUGCUGUGUGUUGGUGUGUGUUGGUGUGUAUUGGUGUGUUUUGGUGUGUAUUAGUGUGUAUUGCUGUGUAUUAGUGUGUAUUAGUGUGUAUUGCAGUGUAUUGCUGUGUAUUAGUGUGUAUUGCUGUGUAUUGGUGUGUAUUGUUGUGUAUUGGUGUGUAUUAGUGUGUAUUGGUGUGUGUUGUUGUGUAUUAGUGUGCAUUAGUGUGUAUUGCUGUGUAUUAGUGUGUAUUGCAGUGUAUUGCUGUGUAUUAGUGUGUAUUGCAGUGUAUUGGUGUGUAUUGGUGUGUAUUAGUGUGCAUUAGUGUGUAUUGCUGUGUAUUAGUGUGUAUUGCUGUGUAUUGGUGUGUGUUGUUGUGUAUUGGUGUGUGUUGGUGUGUAUUAGUGUGUAUUGAUGUGUGUUGUUGUGUAUUAGUGUGUAUUGGUGUGUAUUGCUGUGUAUUAGUGUGUAUUGCUGUGUAUUAGUGUGUAUUGGUGUGUGUUGUUGUGUAUUUGUGUGUAUUAGUGUGUAUUGGUGUGUAUUAGUGUGUAUUAGUGUGUAUUGCUGUGUAUUAGUGUGUAUUGCAGUGUAUUAGUGUGUAUUGCAGUGUAUUGGUGUGUAUUGGUGUGUAUUGGUGUGUAUUAGUGUGUUGGUGUGUGUAUUAGUGUGUAUUAGUGUGUAUUAGUGUGCAUUGCUGUGUAUUGCUGUGUAUUAGUGUGUAUUGCAGUGUAUUGGUGUGUAUUGGUGUGUAUUGCAGUGUAUUGGUGUGUAUUGGUGUGUAUUGGUGUGUGUUGUUGUGUAUUGGUGUGUAUGGUUGUGUAUUAGUGUGUAUUAGUGUGCAUUGCUGUGUAUUGCUGUGUAUUAGUGUGUAUUGCAGUGUAUUGGUGUGUAUUGGUGUGUAUUGGUGUGUAUUGGUGUAAAGUGGUGUGUGUAUUAGUGUGCAUUGCUGUGUAUUGCUGUGUAUUAGUGUGUAUUAGUGUGUAUUGCUGUGUAUUAG